UGUGGCUGUAGCUCAGUGGUAGAGUUCUUGCCUACUAUGCAUGAGGAUCUGGGUUCAAUUCUCAGUACCACAA
Molecule: non-coding RNA, 73 nt
Organism: Sciurus carolinensis (gray squirrel)
Lineage: Eukaryota; Metazoa; Chordata; Mammalia; Rodentia; Sciuridae
Source: the annotation of a RefSeq genome assembly